AUUUAAGUAGUUUAUUAAAAAUAUUGAUUUGUGGUGUCAAUGA
Molecule: transfer RNA, 43 nt
Filed under: Ceratitis capitata (Mediterranean fruit fly)
Lineage: Eukaryota; Metazoa; Arthropoda; Insecta; Diptera; Tephritidae
Description: tRNA-His
Source: RNAcentral